CAGCAGCCGCGGUAAUACGGAGGGUGCAAGCGUUAAUCGGAGUUACUGGGCGUGAAGCGUGCGUAGGCGGUUCGUUAAGUCUGUUGUGAAAGCCCCGGGCUCAACCUGGGAAUGGCAAUGGAUACUGGCGAGCUAGAGUGUGUCAGAGGAUGGUGGAAUUCCCGGUGUAGCGGUGAAAUGCGUAGAGAUCGGGAGGAACAUCAGUGGCGAAGGCGGCCAUCUGGGACAACACUGACGCUGAGGCACGAAAGCGUGGGGAGCAAACAGGAUUAGAUACCCCGGUAGUCCCUGUCUCUUAUAC
RNAcentral lists this ribosomal RNA (301 nucleotides) under uncultured bacterium. Its description in RNAcentral is "partial 16S ribosomal RNA". It matches the Rfam family "Bacterial small subunit ribosomal RNA", at positions 509 to 807 of the family's 1533-position model. The record is from RNAcentral.